UUUUAAAAUGAAAUAAAACUUAAAAUGAGAUUAAUUAUUUUAAAAUGAAAUAAAACUUAAAAUGAGAUUAAUUAUUUUAAAAUGAAAUAAAACUUAAAAUGAGAUGAUCUAUUUUAAAAUGAAAUGAAAUAUAAAAUAGAAUUAAAUAAAAUUAAUUUAAAAUAAAAUGACGGUACAAUGCAAUAUGGUUAUCCGACUAACUUCGCUUCCGACACCAUUUCCGAUUAAAAUCUCCCAACCAGAUCAAACAAACCAAAGUUCCAGAUU
This 267-nucleotide long non-coding RNA is filed under the name Lathyrus oleraceus (garden pea). RNAcentral describes it as "Pisum sativum (pea) long non-coding RNA (PSAT_LNC042295)". The record is from RNAcentral. Lineage: Eukaryota; Viridiplantae; Streptophyta; Magnoliopsida; Fabales; Fabaceae.